RNAcentral lists this long non-coding RNA (3336 nucleotides) under Equus caballus (horse). RNAcentral's name for it is "lncRNA (ENSECAG00000057749.1)". The record is from RNAcentral. Lineage: Eukaryota; Metazoa; Chordata; Mammalia; Perissodactyla; Equidae.
GACCGAGCUAGCAGUCUGUUUAAAGUUCCUGUGGCUUGGGCAAAAGCCAGCCUUUACAGACACGGUUUCAUAGUAGAGAGACGUUUUCCCUUACGACUGGCCAAGUUUUAAAUCCUUCAAUGGUUGAAUCUGAUUAGGAAGGAAGACUGGCCCUGAGCUAACAUUCAUGCCCAUCUUCCUCUACUUUCUAUGUGGAACACCUGCCACAGCAUGGUUUGACAAGUGGGGUGGGGGUCUGCACCCGGGAUCCGGGCCGGUGAACCCUGGGCUGCCAAUGCGGAGUGUACAAGCUUAGCCGCUGCGCCACCAGGCCAGUCACCACUUUCAUGGAAUUUUGUGUUCAUUAUUAAGUUAGUUCCCCACACAAUCUCUGUGAAAAAGCUAUGGAAAUCUAACAGAUGAAGAAAGCAGAGAAAAAAGAAGGAAAUGGCUUGCUGAGAUCACAGUUUGGCAGUGAUCCAGAAAGAUCAAUCUAUAGAUGUGGAGGAAAAAGAAUUUGUAAUUAGCAUGGCUUGACAAGCAGUGCGUAAGUCUUCACCCAGAGUCUGAACCCAUGAACCUCGGGUUGCCGAAGAAGAGCACCCAAGAUUAACCACUGUGCCACCAGGAACUGGCAGACUGUUUCCCAAAGUGGCUGAAUCAUUUUAUGUUCUUACAAGCAAUACAUGGAUUCAAUUUCUCCACAUCCUCUCCAACACUUAUUUUCUUUUUAUUAUUAUUAUAGCCAUAAUAGUGGGUGUGAAGUAACACCUCAUUGUGGCUUUGAUUUACAUUUUCUUAAUGACUAAUAAUAUUAAGCAUUUUUUAUGUGUUUGUAGGCCAUUUGUAUGUCUUCUUUGGAAAAAUGUGUAUUCAAGUCCUUUAUUCAUUUUUAAUGGUUUUUGAGCUGUAAGAGUUCAUAUAUUCUGGAUACUAGCCUCUCAUCAAACACAUGAUUUCCAAACAUUUUGUUCCAUUAUGCAUGUUGUCUUUCAAUUUCUUGAUAAUGUUCUUUGAUGAAAAAAUGAUUUUAAUAUUAGUGAAGUUAAAUUUAAUUAUUUUUUAAUUUUAUUGUUCAUGCUUUUGCUCUCAUAACAAAGAAUCCACUAUCAAAUCCAAGAUAAUGAAGAUUUACCUCUAUGUUUUUUUCUAAUAAUUUUAUGAUUUUAACCCUUUUAUUUAUGUCAUUGAUCCAUUUUGAGUUGAUCUUUGCAUAUUAGCCAUUUAACUUUGAUGCCCAUUGGUGUGGUUCUCCUUGUGUUGAUCUGGCUUAGAACACUGAUCUUCUUGGAUUUGAAAGUUGAUGUUUUGCCUAUUUAUUCAAAUAUUUUUUUCUACUUUAAUCUCUCUAAAGUUCUUUCUGUAAUUAAAUGUAUGUUGUACCAUCUGCUAUUGUCCCAUGGUGUAUAAUAAUGCUGUUCAUUUUAUUUUAUUUUCCUAGUUUUUUGCUGUAUUUUUUUUCUAUCCUUCAGAUUAGAUAAUUUCUAUUGAUCUGUCUUUAACCUUACCAACUCUUUUUUUUCGGCUGUUUCCCAUAUUCAUUCAUGCUCAUGAAGUGAACUUUUCACAUCAUUUAUUGUGCUUUUAAAUUUUAGAAUUUCCAUUAGGUGUAUUUAGAGUUUCAGUUUCUCCAUUAGGAUUUCUCCAUCUCUGCCUCAUUAUGAUCAGUUUUUACUUUAAGGUUUUGAACAUAUUUAUGAUAAAUGUGAUGCUAAGUGAAAUAAGCCAAUCAUGAAAUAAUACAUACACAAUACAGUAUGAUUCAACUCAUAUGAACAUGCCAAAUUACUCUAUGGUGGAAUAAAUCAAAAGAAUGUUGGCCUUGGGGCUGGCCCCAUGGUCGAGUGCUUAAGUUUGCCUGCUCUGCUUUGGCAGCCCAGCGUUUUGCCAGUUUGGGUCCUGGGUUCAGACCUAGCACUGCUCAUCAAGUCAUGCUGAGGUAGCACCCCACAUGCCACUACUAGAAGGAGUCACAAUUAAAAUAUACAAUUAUGUACUGGGGGGCUUUGGGGAGAAGAAGGAAAAGUAAAACAAAGUAAAAUCUUUAAAAAAACAUGCUAGCCUCUGGGUUGGUGGGGGAGGACCUUGAGUGAAGGAGGAUAUGUGGGGACUUUCUAUGGUGAUGGAAGUGCUCUAUAUCUUUUUUGGGUAAGGGUUACAUGUGUAUUUAUUUUUCAAAACUUAUCAAACUGUACACUUAAGACCUUUACAUUUUGCCAUAUGUUAAUUAAACCUUAAAAUACAGACAAAACUACAGAAUAUUACUUAGGGGGUACAAAUUAGUAAAACAAAAAAGAAAAUAAUUAGGACAAAAUUCAUGAUGGAAGUUACCUCUGUAAGGAUGAGGAAAUGUGAUUUGGCAGGGGCACACGGGGGGCCUCUCACGUGCUAGUAAUGUUCGAUUUCUUAAACUGAGUACUGGAUACAUCAGUGUUAUUUUUAUUAUUAUGUCUUAGCAUGCACAUGUAUUUAUGUAUAUUUCAAAUUAGUUUCAUUUAAAGACUAGUCUAUAAAUGUCUUUAUUUUGCUUUUAAUAUUGUUGUUAUUGUUUAAAUUAUGAAAAAAAAAUAGGUCAAUGUCCCUUGGAUGUUUUCAUUGUUUCACAAAGGUAUAUAAUUUUUUCAUCAUAGAAGAUUUGACUAAUAAAGAUGAAGAAAAUUGAGUCCUUGGCAUGAGGAAAUGUACGUGGCUCAUAGAAACGCUAUAUGUUUGACCUGGAUUUUAUAGUUUAUGGAGCACCCUGAAGUCAAUUCAACCAUUUUUCAUAGUGAUAAAAAUGACUUGAUGAAAAAAGAGUAAAAAAAAUAAAUCUUUGGUAAAAAACCUUUUUAUUCUAUACUAUACAUUCAAUGUUCACAUAUACCGUGAUUAUACUUUUACUAGAACGUCAGAACUGGAACUAGGGAAUCUUUGAAAGGAAAACAUAAAAGAAACAGUGCAUAUUUUAUCACUCUUCUCUGGCUUUUACAAAUCAGAAGAGUGAGGACCAAGAAAGUGAAGUGCUUUGGGUAAGAUUACACACUUAGUUGUAAAGCGAGAACUAUAUCUGACUUCUUCUUAUAUACUCUUUCAUCCAUUUUUUUAAGCUCCACAUGAGUUAAAUUUUGUAUUCAUUCAAGUCUCUGGAUUAGUACCACCAGCUAUACAAUAGCAUAAAGAAUAAAAAAAUCACAAACAAAGUGAACCUUCUCAGCAGCUCUAACCUACCCUGCUCUCUUUCACCCCUCAUUCAUGCACUCAACAUUCAACAAGUAUUCGCUUAACAUUUUUCCAAUCAUCCUUCUAGAUCUGAGAGAAACAAAAAGAAUAAAUGAGAUUCAUUAUCUAUGGCUAGUGAUCAUUUUUAGACAAAGAGAG